This 22-nucleotide small nuclear RNA is filed under the name Arabidopsis thaliana (thale cress). RNAcentral's name for it is "snRNA_14515". Lineage: Eukaryota; Viridiplantae; Streptophyta; Magnoliopsida; Brassicales; Brassicaceae. The record is from RNAcentral.
CAACAUGAUUGAAUAUGAAAUC